UAAGGAAUAUUGGACAAUGCCCGCAAGGGUGAUCCAGCCAUGCCGCGUGCAGGAAGACGGCCCUAUGGGUUGUAAACUGCUUUUACACCGGAGAAAACCUCCCCUCGUGAGGGGAGCUGAUAGUAUGGUGAGAAUAAGCAUCGGCUAACUUCGUGCCAGCAGCCGCGGUAAGACGAAGGAUGCAAGCGUUAUCCGGAUUCAUUGGGUUUAAAGGGUGCGUAGGCGGCCUUGUAAGUCAGUGGUGAAAUCCUGUUGCUCAACAACAGAACUGCCAUUGAUACUGCUAGGCUUGAGUACAGAUGCUGUGGGCGGAAUAUGACAUGUAGUGGUGAAAUACAUAGAGAUGUCAUAGAACACCGAUUGCGAAGGCAGCUCACAAAACUGUAACUGACGCUGAGGCACGAAAGUGCGGGGAUCAAACAGG
This 424-nucleotide ribosomal RNA is filed under the name uncultured bacterium. Its description in RNAcentral is "bacterial SSU rRNA". It matches the Rfam family "Bacterial small subunit ribosomal RNA", at positions 355 to 776 of the family's 1533-position model. The record is from RNAcentral.